RNAcentral lists this ribosomal RNA (450 nucleotides) under uncultured bacterium. RNAcentral describes it as "partial 16S ribosomal RNA". It matches the Rfam family "Bacterial small subunit ribosomal RNA", at positions 354 to 796 of the family's 1533-position model. The record is from RNAcentral.
GUGAGGAAUUUUGCGCAAUGGCCGCAAGGCUGACGCAGCAACGCCGCGUGGGUGAUGAAGGCCUUCGGGUCGUAAAGCCCUGUCAGGUGGGAAGAAAGGCCUUAAGGAGAAAGACUUGAGGUUUGACGGUACCACCAGAGGAAGCACCGGCUAACUCCGUGCCAGCAGCCGCGGUAAUACGGAGGGUGCGAGCGUUAUUCGGAAUUACUGGGCGUAAAGCGCGUGUAGGCGGGGGGACAAGUCUGAUGUGAAAGCCCUGGGCUUAACCUGGGAAGCGCAUUGGAAACUGUUUUUCUUGAGUACUGGAGAGGAAGGGGGAAUUCCCGGUGUAGAGGUGAAAUUCGUAGAGAUCGGGAGGAAUACCAGUGGCGUAGGCGCCCUUCUGGACGGUAACUGACGCUGAGACGCGAAAGCGUGGGGAGCAAACAGGAUUAGAAACCCGGGUAGUCC